This is a small nuclear RNA of Alligator mississippiensis (American alligator), 163 nucleotides long. It matches the Rfam family "U1 spliceosomal RNA". Rfam says of the family: U1 is a small nuclear RNA (snRNA) component of the spliceosome (involved in pre-mRNA splicing). Its 5' end forms complementary base pairs with the 5' splice junction, thus defining the 5' donor site of an intron. There are significant differences in sequence and secondary structure between metazoan and yeast U1 snRNAs, the latter being much longer (568 nucleotides as compared to 164 nucleotides in human). NCBI's taxonomy places the organism in Eukaryota, Metazoa, Chordata, Crocodylia, Alligatoridae. The record is from Rfam.
UGACUUACCUGGCAGGAGAGAUACCAUGAUCCAGCAGGUGGUUUUCCCAGGGCAAGGCUUGCCCCUUGCACUCUGGGCUUGCUGCCCCUGUGAUUUUCCCAAACGUGGGAAACUUGACUGUAUAAUUUGUGGUAGUGAGGAACUGUGUUUGCGCUCUAUUAAA